CAAUCCCUGCGUGGUUCGUGAUCACCACUUUGUUUUGAGCCAACAGAGUGUUUACGGGGGCCGGAAUCCUGCGCGGGUCUGCUCUCCCUCCGGGGAGACUGGCUCGACGGAAGGCUCCCACCUGCGAAAGCAGGUUCAGAACUGUGGUCACACGGCCUCGUGGGGAUUGU
This 170-nucleotide non-coding RNA is filed under the name Chloroflexota bacterium. RNAcentral describes it as "Chloroflexi bacterium (anaerobic digester metagenome) 6S RNA". It matches the Rfam family "6S / SsrS RNA". From Rfam's summary of the family: E. coli 6S RNA was the first non coding RNA to be sequenced, but its function was unknown until recently. It consists of 184 nucleotides that fold into an extended hairpin structure with a large single-stranded internal bulge. The record is from RNAcentral. Lineage: Bacteria; Bacillati; Chloroflexota.